GGAUAUCCACACGAGAUUUUGAUCUGAUUAAAAAUCUUUUGAUCUCAUCGAGAUGAUAGCUCCCUUACAGAGAUCACAUCUUGAUGGUUGAAAAUCUUCUUUUCUUUUAAGACACUCUUAGAGAAGAAGAAGAGAUAAGAGGAUAUUGAUCUCUACACUAGAGAUUAUGAGAAGAAUCCUUUCUUCUCUUUUCUUCCUAAAAUCCAUGCAUCAAAUCUCU
RNAcentral lists this long non-coding RNA (220 nucleotides) under Elaeis guineensis (African oil palm). Its description in RNAcentral is "long non-coding RNA (EGUI_LNC033899)". The record is from RNAcentral. Lineage: Eukaryota; Viridiplantae; Streptophyta; Magnoliopsida; Arecales; Arecaceae.